Molecule: transfer RNA, 72 nt
Filed under: Parcubacteria group bacterium CG1_02_42_13
Lineage: Bacteria
Description: tRNA-Ile
Rfam family: tRNA
About the family: Transfer RNA (tRNA) molecules are approximately 80 nucleotides in length. Their secondary structure includes four short double-helical elements and three loops (D, anti-codon, and T loops).
Source: RNAcentral
GGGCGUGUGGCUCAAUGGCAGAGCGCGUUCCUGAUAAGAACGAGGUUGAAGGUUCGAUUCCUUCCACGCCCA